RNAcentral lists this long non-coding RNA (1932 nucleotides) under Canis lupus familiaris (dog). RNAcentral's name for it is "lncRNA (ENSCAFG00000056116.1, ENSCAFG00845026534.1)". Lineage: Eukaryota; Metazoa; Chordata; Mammalia; Carnivora; Canidae. The record is from RNAcentral.
UGAACAGAAAAUCAUCAUUUAUCUAAAUAGAAUAAUAGAAAUGAACAAAACCUUUUAAAACAAUCACAAAAUUUACAAAUAAAUUGGUACAAAAUAAAUAGGAGAGAUUGUAAAUCUACAACAUCAUUUGAAUUAUAAAAUGCAUUCAUUAUGACAAUCAGCUCAUGAAACCUAUACAUGUCAUUUGUGCUUCUUUAGGCUUAUGUACACAGCUCUGAAUACUGUGUUCGGAGAGCUUCACUGCUGAAAAGCAUGAAAUGUACACUAUGACACAGCAAAGGCUGAGGAGGAUGAAAAUCAGACACAAAGCAGGGUCUUAAACUUGAGGGCCAAGGCAAUGCUGGCGUUGGGCCUCAAAACCAUGAAAAGGCAUAUAAGAAGCCCAGAUGGGCAGGCAGCUUCCAUGGUCCCGAGAGAUGGAUUCUGCAAUCCAAGGUAGGAAUUUAGAGGCCAUCACUGUUGUGGGGCCAGUUUCCCAACCUGGCUUGAGAAGGUGGGAGUGAGGAAGAAGGCUCUGGUCUCACAUCCAUGCUGUACCGUUAUACAGAAUAGACCCAGUCACCAGGAAACCACCUCUCAAGCAUGUCGCAGAUGUACUUGAGAGCCCUGCCAUGACGGAGACAGGCCUCCAUCCUCAUCCCAAACACUAGUCCAUCAGGAAUAGUGGUAAGCCCAGUAAAAGGGGCCAGGGAUGCUAGGGUCAACCUAAGAGCAGCAACCUCUUUAUGGCAAAAACAGAAAAAAAAAAAAACAAAAAAAAACCACUGCCUUCUCACCCACUUUAAGGGACAACAGAACCCUAGGCUCCAUGGAUGAGGGGCUCUAGAAAAUAUCUCGUCUUAGUCACAAUGUACUAACAGUAGAGGCAUAUGUACAUAAUAAAUAAUAAUAUAAAAUAAAGCAUAUACAUUUGUAGAUUUAAGACUCCAGAAAUAAGAGAAGUCAAUGGACUGAUACACUCCGCCUUCACAGUAGACUUCAGACAUGGGGAAGAAUGAAUCAGAAGCUAAGCUGGGGCUCUCAGGGGAAUGAAAGUCCUGAUGCCUUACUCCUUCCUACUCCAGGAGCCUGAGACCAGCUAAGCAUACCAAGGGGCCUGGGCCUCCAACAAAAAGGGAAGGCACACCCAAGCCCCACCAGGUCUGUAAGAAUUCUUCCCAGGGUGAGCCUAAGAAGAAUCUGGCCCCAAAAGAAUCACUUUCCAAGUGAAUCCGUGUUGGGUCAGAUGUGGGCAAAUACCAGAAGAUACCCUGCCAGGCAAGGCAAGCCGUUCUUCCAGUUUAUGUUUAAACUCAACAUAAGUGGGUAUUCGAACUCAAAGAUGUGUAUUAACUCAAGUCUUUCGUAUAGUAUGUGUUGGAGCUGUGUACAUAAAAACCUUGCUAUACAAAUUCCUAGAACUUUAAGCUCUUGCUACUAGAACCUUUGUUUCUAAAUGUUGCUUCAAGUACAGCCUGGUAUUUCCCAUCGGAAGAUAUUUACAAUGAGUCUAGUGAAAUGUCAGUGGCUCUAGCAUACACAGAAAGAUUACUUGUGUAGAGCCAACCACAAAGGUCUAAGAAGCCGAGAAAGUCCCCAGCCCAAGGCAGGAGGAAAGCUGCUCCAAGCUCUGCAAUUGCUAUGAACUGCCAUUGCCUCCUUCUGUCCUUCGGGCUGACCAGGGACUCUGGGAAUCUUCAGACAGGGCAGAAGGAAAACCAGCAGGUAAGCACUCACUGCAGGAAGAAUGCCUGCGAGUGGUAGAGGAAGAAGGCCCACUGCCACAGCCUGGAGGGACGGUGACAUCGGCAAGCUCGCCCUCAAAUGGAGGCAAAUGAACCUCAUCUCAGAGUUCCCUGAACUCAUCUCUCUUAUCAGCCCACUUGAAUACAAAAGAAAUAUGAAAAGAUAAAGAUCUGUAAAUGGCCCUGAGAUAUAAAAAUCCACUGAGUA